This is a long non-coding RNA of Dinoponera quadriceps, 1074 nucleotides long. RefSeq lists it as uncharacterized. The transcript is spliced from 3 exons. The record is from RefSeq and is a predicted model, not a curated record. Lineage: Eukaryota; Metazoa; Arthropoda; Insecta; Hymenoptera; Formicidae.
UCUGAUGUUGAAAAAGAUAUGUUAUAAAAAAUAUAUAUAAAAAACGUAUUUCCAAGCAAUGUGAUUUUUCCAAAAAUGCAAGAAUAAGUAGUUGGUUUAAAGUUAUCUUGACUAAAUAUAUCUUGACAAAGUUCAAAGUUAUCUUGACAUAGAUAUAAUUUGCAGAAUUAUUGCAUGUUUUCUAAUGUUAAAACAUUCACGUCAAGGUGACACACAGGAUGAAAUUAGUGUAUCGUCAACCACGAUUGUUGACUGAUUUCAUUUUUGCAGAGAGUCUGUGUGUUCUGGGCUGAAAAACAUACCGAAAAGCUUGAUGGCCCAGAACAUACAGUAGAAAUUGAUGAAGCAAAAAUUGAGAAAUGAAAGUAUAAUUGUGGAAGACUUGUCAAAGGAAAUUGGAUUUUUGGAGGGUACGAAUGUCAUUUGAAGAUUUUUAUCGUUCCAGUAUGAACAGAAAAAACACUUCUAGUGUGUAUCAAGGAAGAGAUUUUGCCAGGAACUGGCAAACUAUCAUGUCAGUUGUUGAAAGUCUUAUAAUUGCUUGAACAAUAAAGGCUUCUCCCAUCAUUUGACAGUAAACCAUUCGUACAACUUUGUCGAAAGUGGUGCAUAUACAUAAUAUAUAGAGCAUAUUUGGAAAGAAGUUCGGGGAAAUAUUCCAAGAUACGGAACUGGAUCUGAGCACGUCCUUGGAUAUUUGUCUGAAUUUCUCUUCAAACGCGCCUAUAGCCGACUGAAAUGCAUAGAAAUGGGCCCAAAGAAAAUAUUCUUCGACAUCAUUGCCGAAAUGUAUCCACCAAUUUUCUUCCACACAUCAACCAGAAACAUCCUGUGAGGAACCAAGUACCAGUACUAAUUGAAAACACAUUUUUGUUCACAUCACUAUUUUUUUUAUCAAUAUUCAUAUUAUUACCACAUUUAUUACAUUGUAUUUAUAUUGUAUUUGCUACAACACCUUCCUGAAUUUAAAAAUCUAUUAAUCCUUUAUGCAGUUAUGUGUAAUGUGCAAUACAAUAUUAUAUAUUUAGUUGUAUGUAUUUAUAUAUAUUUUUAUAUACUUAAAUAUAUUUAAAU